RNAcentral lists this ribosomal RNA (388 nucleotides) under uncultured bacterium. RNAcentral's name for it is "bacterial SSU rRNA". It matches the Rfam family "Bacterial small subunit ribosomal RNA", at positions 28 to 417 of the family's 1533-position model. The record is from RNAcentral.
GACGAACGCUGGCGGCGUGCUUAACACAUGCAAGUCGAGCGGUAAGGCCCUUUCGGGGGUACACGAGCGGCGAACGGGUGAGUAACACGUGGGUGACCCGCCCUCAGCUCUGGGAUAAGCCUGGGAAACCGGGUCUAAUACUGGAUAUGACUCCAUGACGCAUGUUGUGGGGUGGAAAGCCUUGUGCGGCUGAGGAUGGGCCCGCGGCCUAUCAGCUUGUUGGUGGGGUGAUGGCCUACCAAGGCGACGACGGGUAGCCGGCCUGAGAGGGCGACCGGCCACGCUGGGACUGAGACACGGCCCAGACUCCUACGGGAGGCAGCAGUGGGGAAUCUUGCGCAAUGGGCGAAAGCCUGACGCAGCGACGCCGCGUGAGGGAUGACGGCCU